Molecule: long non-coding RNA, 286 nt
Organism: Labeo rohita (rohu)
Lineage: Eukaryota; Metazoa; Chordata; Actinopteri; Cypriniformes; Cyprinidae
Exons: 3
Source: RefSeq, a predicted model, not a curated record
CGUCCGCCAUACCGAGAGCGAGGCGUAAAGAGGGGGAGCGGCGACAGCUUGUAUUGUUGUGCUACCGGAGAGUGUGUGUGGAGCCCGCCUGCGUCACACGGGUCAGGUUGAUGCAGUCCAUUGGUCUGUUCAUGGGCAGUGUGAUCUCCAGUUCUUCUCUCUCCACAAUGAAUCUGGCAUUCCCCUCCAGUUUGUGCACUGGGUGAGGCAGGUGCAGCAGGAGAGCCGAUAUGUCCCGGGCCCAUCCUCGCUAUGGGCUUCACUUGCUAAAAACAAACAAACAUAA